Molecule: ribosomal RNA, 552 nt
Filed under: Triticum aestivum (bread wheat)
Lineage: Eukaryota; Viridiplantae; Streptophyta; Magnoliopsida; Poales; Poaceae
Description: partial small subunit ribosomal RNA
Source: RNAcentral
AUGAGCGAAGGAUACCGCACCAAUACGGUAUGCUUUUUGAAAACAAGCCAUUACCGCAUGCUCAACCUAUGCCCCACCAAGUGGUCUCCUCCGGCUCAAGGAUGGGCAAACUUGAACGUUGACAGAUCGUUCUGCGCCACAUCGGGAACUGUGGGGGCGGGCAUGAUUCUGCGCGGCUCCACCCGCGACAUCAUUUUCUCAUCCUAUAGAGAGUUGCGCACAUGUACAGAACCAUUGGAGGCUAAGCUCUCAGCUUGCAUGGAGGGCAUCAAUCUCACCCUGCAAUGGUCGGAGAUGCCGAUAGAAGUAGAGACGAACUGCCUUGUCGCUCUUAACAUGAUUAAUGGCCCGAACAGGGACCGGUCUCGCUAUACCAUGUUGGUUGAUCAAAUUCAAAGGCUUUUGAGGGAAGGGAGGAUGUUCAAGCUAUCUCAUGUUCAUAGGGAACAGAAUGGUGCAAGCCAUUAUCUGGCCUCCUUUGGACGGACAGAAGGUCGCAUUGUGGUGUGGUUGGGUUCGGGACCAGGAGACGUCCCUAAUAUUUGUAAGUGA